Molecule: non-coding RNA, 66 nt
Organism: Vicia faba (fava bean)
Lineage: Eukaryota; Viridiplantae; Streptophyta; Magnoliopsida; Fabales; Fabaceae
Source: the annotation of a GenBank genome assembly
GUUUUAUGGUUAACUGCUUCUGAAAAUUGCAUGGGCUCGUUGCGAAACAUUGGCUCUGAGUUUUGA